GAUGAACGCUGGCGGCGUGCCUAAUACAUGCAAGUCGAGCGAACGGACGAGAAGCUUGCUUCUCUGAUGUUAGCGGCGGACGGGUGAGUAACACGUGGAUAACCUACCUAUAAGACUGGGAUAACUUCGGGAAACCGGAGCUAAUACCGGAUAAUAUUUUGAACCGCAUGGUUCAAAAGUGAAAGACGGUCUUGCUGUCACUUAUAGAUGGAUCCGCGCUGCAUUAGCUAGUUGGUAAGGUAACGGCUUACCAAGGCAACGAUGCAUAGCCGACCUGAGAGGGUGAUCGGCCACACUGGAACUGAGACACGGUCCAGACUCCUACGGGAGGCAGCAGUAGGGAAUCUUCCGCAAUGGGCGAAAGCCUGACGGAGCAACGCCGCGUGAGUGAUGAAGGUCUUCGGAUCGUAAAACUCUGUUAUUAGGGAAGAACAUAUGUGUAAGUAACUGUGCACAUCUUGACGGUACCUAAUCAGAAAGCCACGGCUAACUACGUGCCAGCAGCCGCGGUAAUACGUAGGUGGCAAGCGUUAUCCGGAAUUAUUGGGCGUAAAGCGCGCGUAGGCGGUUUUUUAAGUCUGAUGUGAAAGCCCACGGCUCAACCGUGGAGGGUCAUUGGAAACUGGAAAACUUGAGUGCAGAAGAGGAAAGUGGAAUUCCAUGUGUAGCGGUGAAAUGCGCAGAGAUAUGGAGGAACACCAGUGGCGAAGGCGACUUUCUGGUCUGUAACUGACGCUGAUGUGCGAAAGCGUGGGGAUCGAACAGGAUUAGAUACCCUGGUAGUCCACGCCGUAAACGAUGAGUGCUAAGUGUUAGGGGGUUUCCGCCCCUUAGUGCUGCAGCUAACGCAUUAAGCACUCCGCCUGGGGAGUACGACCGCAAGGUUGAAACUCAAAGGAAUUGACGGGGACCCGCACAAGCGGUGGAGCAUGUGGUUUAAUUCGAAGCAACGCGAAGAACCUUACCAAAUCUUGACAUCCUUUGACAACUCUAGAGAUAGAGCCUUCCCCUUCGGGGGGGCAAAGUGACAGGUGGUGCAUGGUUGUCGUCAGCUCGUGUCGUGAGAUGUUGGGUUAAGUCCCGCAACGAGCGCAACCCUUAAGCUUAGUUGCCAUCAUUAAGUUGGGCACUCUAAGUUGACUGCCGGUGACAAACCGGAGGAAGGUGGGGAUGACGUCAAAUCAUCAUGCCCCUUAUGAUUUGGGCUACACACGUGCUACAAUGGACAAUACAAAGGGCAGCGAAACCGCGAGGUCAAGCAAAUCCCAUAAAGUUGUUCUCAGUUCGGAUUGUAGUCUGCAACUCGACUACAUGAAGCUGGAAUCGCUAGUAAUCGUAGAUCAGCAUGCUACGGUGAAUACGUUCCCGGGUCU
RNAcentral lists this ribosomal RNA (1373 nucleotides) under uncultured bacterium. Its description in RNAcentral is "bacterial SSU rRNA". It matches the Rfam family "Bacterial small subunit ribosomal RNA", at positions 28 to 1381 of the family's 1533-position model. The record is from RNAcentral.